Molecule: long non-coding RNA, 377 nt
Organism: Alligator sinensis (Chinese alligator)
Lineage: Eukaryota; Metazoa; Chordata; Crocodylia; Alligatoridae
Exons: 3
Source: RefSeq, a predicted model, not a curated record
GGAGCUGGGAAGCAGCUGGUUGACUGAUGCCUUAAAAGGACAGAACAGACUCUGUCAGCCAGGAUAAACCAAGUAAUUCUAAGGUGACCCACCCUUAAAGGCGUACACAACUGGAAAUAGCACAUCCAGCAAGAGACAAGCCUGCAGAGCAAAAAAGAGCAUUAUGCAAAAGCACUUGGUAAGCUGCAAAUACCAUGGUUCCUCCACAAGAAAUCCAUGCAGCAAAGCAGUGGUGACAGCAGACCCCUGCAGUACCCUGCUGAAGUCAGUCAACCAGCCUCUGCACAGCUGCAAGACUUCAGGCUUGCAGAUCCUGGUUCAUGAUGGAGACCUCCUUUUUCAUUCUGAGCCUUUCUUUAAAAAUAAAAACAUCUCUC